RNAcentral lists this ribosomal RNA (497 nucleotides) under uncultured bacterium. RNAcentral's name for it is "partial 16S ribosomal RNA". It matches the Rfam family "Bacterial small subunit ribosomal RNA", at positions 28 to 507 of the family's 1533-position model. The record is from RNAcentral.
GAUGAACGCUGGCGGCGUGCCUAAUACAUGCAAGUCGAGCGAACAGACGAGGAGCUUGCUCCUCUGACGUUAGCGGCGGACGGGUGAGUAACACGUGGAUAACCUACCUAUAAGACUGGGAUAACUUCGGGAAACCGGAGCUAAUACCGGAUAAUAUAUUGAACCGCAUGGUUCAAUAGUGAAAGACGGUUUUGCUGUCACUUAUAGAUGGAUCCGCGCCGCAUUAGCUAGUUGGUAAGGUAACGGCUUACCAAGGCAACGAUGCGUAGCCGACCUGAGAGGGUGGACGGCCACACUGGAACUGAGACACGGUCCAGACUCCUACGGUAGGCAGCAGUAGGGAAUCUUCCGCAAUGGGCGAAAGCCUGACGGAGCAACGCCGCGUGAGUGAUGAAGGUCUUCGGAUCGUAAAACUCUGUUAUUAGGGAAGAACAAAUGUGUAAGUAACUAUGCACGUCUUGACGGUACCUAAUCAGAAAGCCACGGCUAACUACGUG